AUUCUUCAUAAUCCUUUGCAUGAUCACUAAGGUUCGAGCGAAUGGAGUUUUCUCAUAUAAAAAGGAAUUGGAUUCAUAAGCUCUCCAUGGAAAUUUUCAUGUAUAAAAGGAAUUGAAUUUAUAACCUUUCCAUUGGGGUGCUCACUCAGACAUUCUAGACUAUUCGAUUCUUCUGUUUCUAGGCACAUAAUCGUUCAAACUCUUUCGCAUGAUCAAUAAGGUUUGAGAGAAUGGAAGUUUCUCACACGUAGAAGGAACUGAAUUUAUAACUUCUUCAUGGGGUGUGCCAGAAAUGCGAAAAUUUCAUCC
This 309-nucleotide long non-coding RNA is filed under the name Elaeis guineensis (African oil palm). RNAcentral's name for it is "long non-coding RNA (EGUI_LNC075870)". Lineage: Eukaryota; Viridiplantae; Streptophyta; Magnoliopsida; Arecales; Arecaceae. The record is from RNAcentral.